Molecule: ribosomal RNA, 440 nt
Filed under: uncultured bacterium
Lineage: Bacteria
Description: partial 16S ribosomal RNA
Rfam family: Bacterial small subunit ribosomal RNA
Source: RNAcentral
CCUACGGGUGGCAGCAGUGGGGAAUAUUGCACAAUGGGGGAAACCCUGAUGCAGCGACGCCGCGUGAGUGAAGAAGUAAUUCGUUAUGUAAAGCUCUAUCAGCAGGGAAGAAAAUGACGGUACCUGAGUAAGAAGCCCCGGCUAACUACGUGCCAGCAGCCGCGGUACUACGUAGGGGGCAAGCGUUAUCCGGAUUUACUGGGUGUAAAGGGAGCGUAGACGGCAGUGCAAGUCUGGAGUGAAAGGCUGGGGCUCAACCCCCGGCCUGCUCUGGAAACUGUACGGCUGGAGUGCAGGAGAGGUAAGUGGAAUGCGUAGUGUAGCGGUGAAAUGCGUAGAGAUUAGGAGGAACACCAGUGGCGAAGGCGGCUUACUGGACUGUAACUGACGUUGAGGCUCGAAAGCGUGGGGAGCAAACAGGAGUAGAUACCCUAGUAGUC